AGUGCUGUAGCUAAGUGGUAGUGCACAGGCUUUCAAUGCAACAGGUCCCAGGUUCAAUCCCUGGCAUCUCCA
Phrynosoma platyrhinos (Desert horned lizard) is the source of this 72-nucleotide non-coding RNA. The record is from the annotation of a GenBank genome assembly. Lineage: Eukaryota; Metazoa; Chordata; Lepidosauria; Squamata; Phrynosomatidae.